UUGUCACUUCCACGGCCAUGACAGUUGAUUGAGGAAAGUUGCUGGGACAGAUACGGUACCGAGUUGCGCUACGGAAGAUGCACAAAUGUCGGGAAAGUUGGACCAAUUCUAGUAGCUAUUAAUCUCAGACAACUAACGAUUUGUGAUCAUUUUGUGCCAUGGGGCUAGUCGUCGAAUAAUCUCUGGUGCCUCUUACUUCGGUUGGUAUAGACGUGUACCUACUCUGGAAAUCGAAACCGAACACACAUACUGAAGCACGUAAAAGUGCAGAGGAGCACUAGAAAACGUACGGACAUAUGUAAAUAGUUAGCUGCUCAUAGUACGUUUUAAUAAAACAUGCAAAUCGUGCCCGACACCAUGAACUGCAUGGUCUGUACUCUUGGGAUAGUCUGCAGACUGCACAGCAUGAGUGUGGCUGUGCAUGUAGCGGUUAGUGUGGGUGUGCUGGUUUUAAUUUCAUGCUAGCUAGCCUUUGCUUGUGCAAACAAUUUACACCUCUUGAAACUACUUGUUGAGUACCAGGAGAAACCCCGUCCCUUUGACACCCAUACGCCAUGGCAAUUAAUGGCAGGUUUAUUCGUGAGUUUGUGUGGUUGUGUCCGCUCCUGAACAAAUACAUAAAAGGGUUUGUGCCCAAAUUGUGGAUACAAACUGAAAAUGUUUUCAACUAGCACUGAGAGCUGCAGACCCUGUCGCACCUUUCGAAGUCAACUCAUGAAUGCCGAAUACUGACAUAUCAAAUUAACUUAAUGACAUAAUGUUACACCAGUUAUUCAAGUGUCAUUCAUUUACCGAGCGUGUUUGGCUGUGUGUGUGUGUGUGUGUUUGUUGGUGCUCGUACAUGUCUUUCCAGAAGAAUGUCAUUGUGUGUGUGUGUGUGUGUUGCCAACACGAGUACUACGUGUACGUUUUGCCUUUUCUAGUUGUGCUGUAGAUAGCCAUUCUCUUUGAGCCAAAUGACACCCUUUUGUGUUCGGUGUUUCCAUGUUCAUCUUGACUUGGCAGAUUCCAUCCUUUGACUGUUUCUUGCGCUUUGAAAUAGCUUCGAAUAUUUUCUGUCAACUGUCUAAGGUCUAAAGUUCAGCUGAAGAGACAAAUUUUAGUCAUGUUCAAGCGCACAUCCAGUCUCCGUGCCACCUCCCACUCACACGCUCGCUCCAAACGACAUUACCACCCACCUGCCUUUUCACAUGCCAGGCAUACCAAUAAACCUCUAACGCUGUAGCUGUUAAAGUCUCAGUGCACUGCCGAAAAUUUCCUAAAUUCAAAUUAACUCAUGUAUGUAUGUAUGUAUGUACUCCUGUAUAUGUGGGUACUCCUAGUUCUUCGUCUCUCCCCCGUUCUUGUUACUUCAUGACUUUGGUGCUUCCAUUCUUGAUACCUCCUGACAAUAGCUUCGUACUGUAAGUGUUGUUGUCGGGUAUGUUGCUGGAGCAGAGACAACGCUUGGGCAGGUCUCUGGGAAUUUGUUAAAGAAGUAGAACAUGGCCAACGAUAAAGGGCAACAUUGUAAACAAAGCGUAAAGUAUUACUGCUACUUGUUUCGAAAUUUCUAUUCUUAUCCAGAGGCAUGUCAUUCUGGCAUAUUGACCCCACAACGUGGAGAGGUUGCUUUAUAUUUACGAGGGUUUUUGGACACCGAAUCUAUAUAUCCAUAUAUAUAAAUCAAAUGUCGUUCGUUGUGUCAGCUUAGAACCGCCGGACCCAAUUGGAUAUUUUUUUUUUAACAAACGUUCGUUACACGCCAACUUAGGUUUUUAUGGAAAGAAAAAUUGAACAAGCCAACUUUUUUCGGUUUAUCAAAAAUCGUUAUAUUUGCAAAAAUAAUGAAGAAUUCGGUUUGAAAACUAGUACACGAGAUGCGGUUGACUAUCUCUCCCAACCUAAGUAAUUACUUGCUAGGUUUACCCAAAAGUUCACGUCAGUCUGAAGAUGUUGAUGAAGUAUUUGCGCAAUUAUUUGGUAGUAAUCUCUCGAAAACGUAAUUUAGUUUAGUUUAUGGUUCCCCAAGCCAUUAUACAUAUACGAGAUGUUGGUUUUUCUAAAUCUAAAAUGUGUUUGAUGCAAUCAUGAAGGAUACACUUAAUAUAUAUAGGUAGAUUGCAAAUGUAAAACUUCCAGGGGAUAAUACGUCUAAUACAUCUGCAAACAGCAUUAUCCAGGAGCAUUCAUUCUCUAAACAUUCGUAUUUACAUAAUUGGUUUUUAUACCGAUCUCAUACCUAUUUCAUACGUACGUACGUUUUGAUCCAUUAAUUCCACAAAGUAUCAUCGGAUGGUAUUGGGAAUGGUUAUCUUGCAACCGCAAGUCCGUCACAAAUUUCUUAAGGUGCAAGUACAUGGAGAGCAUUUUUAAGGGCUUAAGUCAUAGACUGGCUUCUUCACAAAAAGAACAAAGGAGUUUUAGGUUGACUUGGUUCAAUUUGUUCAACCUACGAGCCUUUGUCCGAUAACUUUAAUCGAUGAUAAAGGUAUUUUACCUAUUCUCACAUUGUAAAAGCCAAGCGGCUAUGGACUGUUUCACCCGCCAAAUAUCAUGCGAUCACCAUCCAAUAAUUAAGGACUCCUUCUGUGUCCUUAAACCCUACUUCAUGAUUUUCUUGUAGGUCAAACACUCCCUGCAGUCUGUAAACGUUUCCAAAACCUAUAGGAUUUUAUUCGGACUCUGUCCAAAUGCAAACAUCGAACGAUGAUGAUCUGUGUUCUGAACUACAAAUAAAAGUAUCAGGAUCUUUAUGUAUAUAAACUGAAAGGUAUGCAGAAUUAUGUUGAAACCACGUCUCUUUCAAGAGAACAAAUGCCAGACGUAAGUCAAGAAAAUCUUGCUAGAAGUGCUUAAGGUUAUAUUUGAUUUAAUAAGUAACAAUGCGGCAUGCAAAGGCGUCGCAGUAACACCAUCAAUCAUCAAUGUUGUUUUAAAAACUGUCAUCAAGAAUCUCUAUCACAAGAUGCCAUAAAACGCAAGUGUAGAUUCAGAAGAAUUACAAAAGGUUUCUUCAGGGCCUUUUCUCAAAAAGACACGAAUUACAUAUCUUUUUAUAAUCUCCUCCAUGGAAAUGUGGGUAUAGUAAAUUUGUCAUUCGAUUUAUAACACCUCUAAAUAUUCGUCGUAGACCCAUAAAAGAUUUGAAAUUUGGCACAAUAUGUCUAGAAUGUUUGGUAUUGAAAAUGAUACAGGGAUGUUUCAACAAGGCAUUGCACUGUGUACAUUAUAAUGCGAACCAUUCAAUAGCCCACAUAACAAGACUGCUCUAUCUCCAUAAUGGAUCUGCUGUUAAAAAUCAAACAAGUUGCGAAUCGGGAAUCCUUUAGGUGAAAUUAAUAAUAUGUUAUAACUGUAAAACUUUUAGUAACGUUAGUGUUUAGCAUUAAGCUUUAAGAAUAUUUAAUAUCGAAAUAUUUUAUAUCAAAUCAAUAAAGAACAAUUUAAGAAAUAAUA
Long non-coding RNA from Musca domestica (house fly), 3438 nucleotides. RefSeq lists it as uncharacterized. The record is from RefSeq and is a predicted model, not a curated record. Lineage: Eukaryota; Metazoa; Arthropoda; Insecta; Diptera; Muscidae. The transcript has 3 exons.